This is a long non-coding RNA of Capsicum annuum, 564 nucleotides long. RefSeq lists it as uncharacterized. The transcript is spliced from 2 exons. Lineage: Eukaryota; Viridiplantae; Streptophyta; Magnoliopsida; Solanales; Solanaceae. The record is from RefSeq and is a predicted model, not a curated record.
UCAUCUUCACCGCCUCUCCACCUUCUCCACCUCUGAAAAUACCCUUAUCAUUUCCAAAUGCUUAGCUCCAUCUCCUUCUACUGUGGGUGAUGAAUUAUCGUCAUCGUGGUAAUGGCGUGGCUUUCCUUCUCAGCUUGCAGAAAUGUGUGUUCCGGUGGAAGUGUAAGAGCUUGAAAAAUCUCCAAAUCGAGUUUGAACCCUGCAUCCUAACUUUGUAGUUCACAGUAAACCUCUCAUUCUUGUUCUAUCUGCCUUAUUCUCAUCUACUGAUUACUGAACUUUCAUUUUUAUAUAGAUGAAGUGGAAGUGGAGAAAAAUUAGUUGCUCCCGACCUCCUUCUCUUGGAACUCUUAGUUAGGUGUAGUCACUUUAUGGAAGAUAUGAUUCCAUAGCCCUUCUUUUUUGCUAGUGUUGCUUUUUCUUUGCUAAUGUAGCUUCGGCUAAUUAGCUUUUUAGAUAGUCAUUAUUCCUUUGUGUAAGCCACAAACAUUAUUGUAAAUAUAAUGGUUGUGAGACACUGUGGUGUUUCCUUGUUUCAUCUGUUUAAAAUCUUAAUUGUUCUAA